AUUGAACGCUGGCGGCAGGCCUAACACAUGCAAGUCGAACGAGUGGCGGACGGGUGAGUAAUGUCUGGGAAACUGCCCGCUGGAGGGGGAUAACUACUGGAAACGGUAGCUAAUACCGCAUACCAUCGGGUGUGCCCAGAUGGGAUUAGCUAGUAGGUGGGGUAACGGCUCACCUAGGCGACGCUCCCUAGCUGGUCUGAGCGGAUGACCAGCAACAUUGGAACGGAGACACGGUCCAGACUUCUAAGGGACGCAGCAGUGGGGAAUAUUGCACAAUGGGCGGAAGCCUGAUGCAGCCAUGCGGAGUGUAUGAAGAAGGCCUUCGGGUUGUAAAGGACGUUCAGCGAGGAGGCGUUACUCGCAGAAGAAGCACCGGCUAACUCCGUGCCAGCCGCCGCGGUAAUUC
RNAcentral lists this ribosomal RNA (406 nucleotides) under uncultured bacterium. Its description in RNAcentral is "partial 16S ribosomal RNA". It matches the Rfam family "Bacterial small subunit ribosomal RNA", at positions 30 to 526 of the family's 1533-position model. The record is from RNAcentral.